UACGGGGGGGGCGAGCGUUGUUCGGAAUUACUGGGCGUAAAGGGUGCGUAGGCGGCUCUCUAAGUCGGAUGUGAAAACUCUGGGCUCAACCCAGAGCCUGCAUCUGAAACUGGAGGGCUAGGGUUUUGGAGGGGAAAGCGGAAUUCCAGGUGUAGCGGUGAAAUGCGUAGAUAUCUGGAGGAACACCGGUGGCGAAGGCGGCUUUCUGGACAAAUACCGACGCUGAGGCACGAAAGCUAGGGGAGCAAACAGG
RNAcentral lists this ribosomal RNA (253 nucleotides) under uncultured bacterium. RNAcentral describes it as "partial 16S ribosomal RNA". It matches the Rfam family "Bacterial small subunit ribosomal RNA", at positions 524 to 776 of the family's 1533-position model. The record is from RNAcentral.